Non-coding RNA from Pelobates cultripes (western spadefoot toad), 245 nucleotides. The record is from the annotation of a GenBank genome assembly. NCBI's taxonomy places the organism in Eukaryota, Metazoa, Chordata, Amphibia, Anura, Pelobatidae.
GGUGACACAGUGAAAGAGUGAGGAAGGGGGUGACACAGUGACAGAGUGAGGGAGGGGGUGACUAGUGACAGAGUGAAGGAGGUGGUGACUGUCACUAGUCACCCCAUCCCUCCCUCUGUCACUAAUCACCACCUCCCUCACUCUGUCACUAGUCACCCCUUCCCUCCCUCACUCUGUCACUAGUCACGCCCUCCCUCUCUCUGUCACUAAUCACACCCUCCCUCACUCUGUCACUAGUCACAACC